CCGUCGAUCUGAUCCAACGACCGCAAUAGCCUGGAACCACCAACUCCACACGUUUCCUUAUCCAAUCCUCAGUCUCUGUCUUCUCCACGCUCUCCUCCGAUGGAGCCGCCGCCGCGCCCGCUUCUCACCGCCUCUCGUCCGUCGCUGCUGCUUCCCCACCGCUCGUCGUGCCGUCCCUCGCUUCCUCCCAGACCUCCUCUGCCGCUGGACCGGCUCUCGCCUCCCUCGACUGAACCUAGGGUUUGACGCGCCACCGCCUCCCCUGCUGUGUACUCCGCAGCCGGCGGCGCCAGCAGCCCAACCAUCGCCUCUCGCGGACACCUCCCCUGCUAGUCGCCUACCUUGCCUCUCCGGCCACCCUGACCCUCGUCUGCAUCCUGCCCCGAGGUCAUCUCCACCGCACCGUCCUCCGGCUCCCUCCGGGUUCCACAUCCAACUCGUCUCCGGCCGGCUGACUCGCCCAGCAGUUCGCCGCCACCUGCCUGUACUCCCUUAGGUGUGGGAUUUCUCUGCCGUGCUUGCUUUACUCCUCCCCCAAAAUGCAAGAUACUCAGAAAUCAUUGACGACUAGAAGAAUAAGCGCACGGUGGCUGGAAACGGAGACUGGAAUGGCAGUGGCUGGAUGUGUGAUGGUCGGGCGGCAAGGAGACGGCGCUUGGGGUCAACCGAUAGUCAAUGAGGUUCCAUUGUAUGACACCGUGUGCAGCCUCUCCACUGAUACGCACCUAAGUACCAUUACCGAUGCUGAUCCACAUAUGUUCCCUGCUCCUUGGUUCCAGAUCCGGGCGACGGUUGCUGCCUGACUGACGCUGCAGGCGUGUGGAGGAGCUUGCCGGCAAUUGUUUCCGGCUGCAGGUAGACUGCAUGUAUCAACUGGCAAGAGUAGAUUUUUUAUGUGCGCUACAUUUAGGGUGAGAUUGCCGGUGAAGAUCUCUACCUCUUCCUUCUGCUGUUCAUCUCACAUCUCGGCGGCCCAUACCCUUUGCAAUUUGUUCAUACCAGGGCUUCAAUCAGCGUCACAGUUUUCGCAGAUCUCAGAACCUAUAUCUCAACGUUACUAAGUUUGGGGACCUGACUUGUUCGCCAGGUUUCAAGCCAGGUGGGUGUGCUGGACGGGUAGUUGAGUUAUGCAGAGUUUUGUAUUUUGUACGGAUGUAGGAGACCCAUGGAAUUUUGUUCUAGAUAAUCGCGGGUUUGGUCUACGGCAGGUAGUUUAUUGCAUGAGCGUUUAGCUCAGCAAUCUGUGCCUUUUAUGCUUCAUGUAUAUGUGAAAUGAAAAUCCAACUGUAGUAACUUUUGGAGCUGUACGUGUUCAUCUUUUCGAUUGAAGUAAAUUUUGUUGCGGCUGAGAUGCCGUCAGGCACCGGAGGAAGAAAAGCAGGGGCAAUUUUGUU
Brachypodium distachyon (stiff brome) is the source of this 1394-nucleotide long non-coding RNA. RefSeq lists it as uncharacterized. The record is from RefSeq and is a predicted model, not a curated record. The transcript is spliced from 4 exons. NCBI's taxonomy places the organism in Eukaryota, Viridiplantae, Streptophyta, Magnoliopsida, Poales, Poaceae.